Molecule: ribosomal RNA, 433 nt
Filed under: uncultured bacterium
Lineage: Bacteria
Description: partial 16S ribosomal RNA
Rfam family: Bacterial small subunit ribosomal RNA
Source: RNAcentral
GACGAACGCUGGCGGCAUGCCUAACACAUGCAAGUCGAACGAAACGGUCGGGUCUCGUUGGGGACUUGUGGGUAACGGGGGGGAAAAUGGCCGUGGAAUAGGAAUGUCAGCUGGAAACAACUGCUAAUAAAGGCUGGUAAAGUAAGUCCAAUGGUUUAUAGCCCAGGGAUGAGCCCGCGUAGGAUUAGCACGUUGGUGCGGUGACGGGUGACCAAGGCGCCGACUCUUAGCUGGUCGGUGAGGAUGAGCCGCCACACUGGGACUGAGACACGGCCGAGACUCCGACGGGAGGCAGCAGUGGGGAAUAUUGGACCAUGGGCGAAAGCCGGAUCCAGCAAUGCCGCGUGUUUGAUGAAGGCCUUAGGGUUGUAAAGCCCUUUUAGUCGGGAUGAUAAUGACAGUACUGGGAGAAGAAGCUCCGGCUAACUCCGUG